Non-coding RNA from Myotis davidii, 75 nucleotides. The record is from Rfam. Lineage: Eukaryota; Metazoa; Chordata; Mammalia; Chiroptera; Vespertilionidae.
GGCAGUUCUUGGGUGAUGCACCCCAGCAUGGGGCUCCUUCUUCUCUGGUUCCGGGUGCUUCACCCGAGAACCACA